This 482-nucleotide ribosomal RNA is filed under the name uncultured bacterium. RNAcentral's name for it is "bacterial SSU rRNA". It matches the Rfam family "Bacterial small subunit ribosomal RNA", at positions 37 to 507 of the family's 1533-position model. The record is from RNAcentral.
UGGCGGCAGGCCUAACACAUGCAAGUCGAGCGGUAACAGAAAGAAAGCUUGCUUUCUUUGCUGACGAGCGGCGGACGGGUGAGUAAUGCCUGGGAAUAUGCCUUAGUGUGGGGGAUAACUAUUGGAAACGAUAGCUAAUACCGCAUAAUGUCUUCGGACCAAAGAGGGGGACCUUCGGGCCUCUCGCGCUAAGAUCAGCCCAGGUGGGAUUAGCUAGUUGGUGAGGUAAAGGCUCACCAAGGCAACGAUCCCUAGCUGGUCUGAGAGGAUGAUCAGCCACACUGGAACUGAGACACGGUCCAGACUCCUACGGGAGGCAGCAGUGGGAAUAUUGCACAAUGGGGGGAACCCUGAUGCAGCCAUGCCGCGUGUAUGAAGAAGGCCUUCGGGUUGUAAAGUACUUUCAGUCGUGAGGAAGGCAUUGUAGUUAAUAGCUGCAGUGCUUGACGUUAGCGACAGAAGAAGCACCGGCUAACUCCGUG